GCGGGCGUGGCGGAACUGGCAGACGCGUACGGCUUAGGACCGUAUGGGCAACCGUGGGGGUUCAACUCCCUCCGCCCGCACCA
RNAcentral lists this transfer RNA (83 nucleotides) under Candidatus Omnitrophota bacterium. RNAcentral's name for it is "Candidatus Omnitrophica bacterium tRNA-Leu". It matches the Rfam family "tRNA". From Rfam's summary of the family: Transfer RNA (tRNA) molecules are approximately 80 nucleotides in length. Their secondary structure includes four short double-helical elements and three loops (D, anti-codon, and T loops). The record is from RNAcentral. Lineage: Bacteria; Pseudomonadati; Candidatus Omnitrophota.